This 459-nucleotide ribosomal RNA is filed under the name uncultured bacterium. RNAcentral describes it as "partial 16S ribosomal RNA". It matches the Rfam family "Bacterial small subunit ribosomal RNA", at positions 338 to 795 of the family's 1533-position model. The record is from RNAcentral.
CCUACGGGGGGCAGCAGUGAGGAAUAUUGGUCAAUGGCCGAGAGGCUGAACCAGCCAAGUCGCGUGAGGGAAGACGGCCCUACGGGUUGUAAACCUCUUUUGUCGGGGAGCAAAGCGAACUACGUGUGGUUCAUUGAGAGUACCCGAAGAAAAAGCAUCGGCUAACUCCGUGCCAGCAGCCGCGGUAAUACGGGGGAGGCGGGCGUUAUCCGGAUUUAUUGGGGUUAAGGGGUGCGCAGGCGGAGGUGCAAGUCAGCGGUCAAAUUGCGGGGCUCAACCCCGUACUGCCGUUGAAACUGCAUCCCUUGAGUGCGCGAGAAGUAUGCGGAAUGCGUGGUGUAGCGGUGAAAUGCAUAGAUAUCACGCAGAACUCCGAUUGCGAAGGCAGCAUACCGGCGCGCAACUGACGCUCAUGCACGAAAGCGUGGGUAUCGAACAGGAUUAGAUACCCGAGUAGUC